GUCCCUGUAGCUUAAUGGUCAGCGUUUGGUGCUUUAUCUUCAGCGUUUGAUUUUCCCAGCGAAUAGAGUUAAGGUAGCGAAAGACGUCGGUUCGAACCCGACCGGGGACA
Molecule: non-coding RNA, 110 nt
Organism: Podospora fimiseda
Lineage: Eukaryota; Fungi; Ascomycota; Sordariomycetes; Sordariales; Podosporaceae
Source: the annotation of a GenBank genome assembly